This 1540-nucleotide ribosomal RNA is filed under the name Staphylococcus aureus M1544. RNAcentral's name for it is "16S ribosomal RNA". It matches the Rfam family "Bacterial small subunit ribosomal RNA". RNAcentral also lists the same sequence under 2 other names. The record is from RNAcentral. Lineage: Bacteria; Bacillati; Bacillota; Bacilli; Caryophanales; Staphylococcaceae.
AGAGUUUGAUCCUGGCUCAGGAUGAACGCUGGCGGCGUGCCUAAUACAUGCAAGUCGAGCGAACGGACGAGAAGCUUGCUUCUCUGAUGUUAGCGGCGGACGGGGGAGUAACACGUGGAUAACCUACCUAUAAGACUGGGAUAACUUCGGGAAACCGGAGCUAAUACCGGAUAAUAUUUUGAACCGCAUGGUUCAAAAGUAAAAGACGGUCUUGCUGUCACUUAUAGAUGGAUCCGCGCUGCAUUAGCUAGUUGGUAAGGUAACGGCUUACCAAGGCAACGAUGCAUAGCCGACCUGAGAGGGUGAUCGGCCACACUGGAACUGAGACACGGUCCAGACUCCUACGGGAGGCAGCAGUAGGGAAUCUUCCGCAAUGGGCGAAAGCCUGACGGAGCAACGCCGCGUGAGUGAUGAAGGUCUUCGGAUCGUAAAACUCUGUUAUUAGGGAAGAACAUAUGUGUAAGUAACUGUGCACAUCUUGACGGUACCUAAUCAGAAAGCCACGGCUAACUACGUGCCAGCAGCCGCGGUAAUACGUAGGUGGCAAGCGUUAUCCGGAAUUAUUGGGCGUAAAGCGCGCGUAGGCGGUUUUUUAAGUCUGAUGUGAAAGCCCACGGCUCAACCGUGGAGGGUCAUUGGAAACUGGAAAACUUGAGUGCAGAAGAGGAAAGUGGAAUUCCAUGUGUAGCGGUGAAAUGCGCAGAGAUAUGGAGGAACACCAGUGGCGAAGGCGACUUUCUGGUCUGUAACUGACGCUGAUGUGCGAAAGCGUGGGGAUCAAACAGGAUUAGAUACCCUGGUAGUCCACGCCGUAAACGAUGAGUGCUAAGUGUUAGGGGGUUUCCGCCCCUUAGUGCUGCAGCUAACGCAUUAAGCACUCCGCCUGGGGAGUACGACCGCAAGGUUGAAACUCAAAGGAAUUGACGGGGACCCGCACAAGCGGUGGAGCAUGUGGUUUAAUUCGAAGCAACGCGAAGAACCUUACCAAAUCUUGACAUCCUUUGACAACUCUAGAGAUAGAGCCUUCCCCUUCGGGGGACAAAGUGACAGGUGGUGCAUGGUUGUCGUCAGCUCGUGUCGUGAGAUGUUGGGUUAAGUCCCGCAACGAGCGCAACCCUUAAGCUUAGUUGCCAUCAUUAAGUUGGGCACUCUAAGUUGACUGCCGGUGACAAACCGGAGGAAGGUGGGGAUGACGUCAAAUCAUCAUGCCCCUUAUGAUUUGGGCUACACACGUGCUACAAUGGACAAUACAAAGGGCAGCGAAACCGCGAGGUCAAGCAAAUCCCAUAAAGUUGUUCUCAGUUCGGAUUGUAGUCUGCAACUCGACUACAUGAAGCUGGAAUCGCUAGUAAUCGUAGAUCAGCAUGCUACGGUGAAUACGUUCCCGGGUCUUGUACACACCGCCCGUCACACCACGAGAGUUUGUAACACCCGAAGCCGGUGGAGUAACCUUUUAGGAGCUAGCCGUCGAAGGUGGGACAAAUGAUUGGGGUGAAGUCGUAACAAGGUAGCCGUAUCGGAAGGUGCGGCUGGAUCACCU